This 724-nucleotide ribosomal RNA is filed under the name uncultured bacterium. RNAcentral describes it as "bacterial SSU rRNA". It matches the Rfam family "Bacterial small subunit ribosomal RNA", at positions 28 to 776 of the family's 1533-position model. The record is from RNAcentral.
GAUGAACGCUGACAGAAUGCUUAACACAUGCAAGUCUACUUGAUCCUUCGGGUGAUGGUGGCGGACGGGUGAGUAACGCGUAAAGAACUUGCCCUGCAGUCUGGGACAACAUUUGGAAACGAAUGCUAAUACCGGAUAUUAUGUAUUUCUCGCAUGAGUUUUACAUGAAAGCUAUAUGCGCUGCAGGAGAGCUUUGCGUCCUAUUAGCUAGUUGGUGAGGUAACGGCUCACCAAGGCCAUGAUAGGUAGCCGGCCUGAGAGGGUGAACGGCCACAAGGGGACUGAGACACGGCCCUUACUCCUACGGGAGGCAGCAGUGGGGAAUAUUGGACAAUGGACCAAAAGUCUGAUCCAGCAAUUCUGUGUGCACGAUGAAGUUUUUCGGAAUGUAAAGUGCUUUCAGUUGGGACGAAGUAAGUGACGGUACCAACAGAAGAAGCGACGGCUAAAUACGUGCCAGCAGCCGCGGUAAUACGUAUGUCGCAAGCGUUAUCCGGAUUUAUUGGGCGUAAAGCGCGUCUAGGCGGUUUGGUAAGUCUGAUGUGAAAAUGCGGGGCUCAACUCCGUAUUGCGUUGGAAACUGCUAAACUAGAGUACUGGAGAGGUGGGCGGAACUACAAGUGUAGAGGUGAAAUUCGUAGAUAUUUGUAGGAAUGCCGAUGGGGAAGCCAGCCCACUGGACAGAUACUGACGCUAAAGCGCGAAAGCGUGGGUAGCAAACAGG